RNAcentral lists this ribosomal RNA (1814 nucleotides) under Rickettsiales bacterium. RNAcentral describes it as "partial 23S ribosomal RNA". It matches the Rfam family "Bacterial large subunit ribosomal RNA", at positions 187 to 2028 of the family's 2925-position model. Lineage: Bacteria; Pseudomonadati; Pseudomonadota; Alphaproteobacteria; Rickettsiales. The record is from RNAcentral.
AGUGAACUGAAACAUCUAAGUAACUGUUAAAAAAAUCACAAGAAUUACUGAAAGUAAAGGCGAUUAAAAUCAGUAAAGGUCGGACAAACUUCAUAAGACAUGGAGAUCCGUCUUCAAGACCAUAAAGGACAGUAUAGCGAUAGAGUAGAGUAACGUGAGUGAAAGAUAACGAGUUGAGAUCAUAUAAGCAGAUAGAGUCUAAAGAGAUGAUAUCGUACCUUUUGCAUAAUGGCGGGUUUACUAGUUUAAUAUAGCGAGAUUCAAUUGGCUAGAGUCCCACUUAUCAGGAAAAUAAGUUAUAUUAAAAAGACCUAAAACGACGUGAUCUAAAGUUGAUCAGGAUCAUAAUAUCGAUAUGAACGAUUUUCGUUCAUGCGAAUUAAGAGUCUGAACGAGUGGCUGUUACAUUAGCCUUCGAUGAAUUGACUUUAGUAGUGAAAAGCUAAUCGAACGUCGUGAUAGUUGGUUGUCUGCGAAACAUGUUAUAGCAUGAUCUAUCAGGAAGUUUAACUAAUUCUUAUUGUUAAAUAAGAACAAUACGAGUACAGUAAAGAUUCACACAAAAUAAUUCAUGGUUAAACCUUGAAGGUUAAUAGGGCAGAAAUGUACCUAUGUGAGUUAAGCUCAGAAAAGUAAUUGUUUAAUAAGAUAGUUUCAGACGUACGAUGAUAAGGUCGUAUGUCGAGAGGGAAACAGCCCAAAGUGUAAGUUAAGGUUCCGAAUAACAUAAGUAAUAAUAAUAAUUAUAUUUAGAAAAAUAUAAUAAUAUUAUUAUUAUAUUUUUGAGUAGUAAGAAGGUAGUAUAGCACUCCAAAGACAAUCAUGAGAUGUGACUGGAAACAUCCAUUCUUUAAAGAGUACGUAACAGUACAAUGAUCUUGCAAUGAAAAGAAGCAGAGAGGCAUACUCCGAAGAUAUACGGACUUAAAAUGUAAACCGAAACAACACUCAACACUUAUAUUAAAAAUAGAAGAUGAAGGUAGCAGACCGUUCCUGUCUCGAUUAAUUAAAUGUGUUUCAUAUUUAAUGUGUCAGGAAGUGAGAAUGACUCGAUGAGUAACGCAAAAUGUAUAAACAUUCAUCUUAAGUCUAGGAUUUGCUAAGAUUAAAAAUAGAUAAUAUGGUUAUUAACUAUAAAUCAGUAAAAAUGUAGUGUUAAACGGUAUCUAAGCCAAAGCUAAGAGGCGUAAAGGUGAUGAAAGCAUAAUUCAUUAUGUUCGAAAGAAUGGUAAAUAAUGAAUACGUGGAUCUUUUUAAAUUUAAAAAAACUAGUGAGACGUAGGAAAAACAGGAAAAGAGUAGUAAUAUGAAUUAUAUAAGGCUUAUAUCUUAGAUUAUGUCGAAGAUAUAAUGGUUAUAAUAAUAAUAUAUAUAUCGACCGUAUCAUGCAACACAGAUAGACUGAUAUAAAAGUAUCAAGAUGAUAGCUUAAUACAUGUUAAGGAACUCGGCAAACUAACUCUGUAACUUUGAGGAUAAAGAGUAGUCAAUAUAGACUUUAUAAAAAAGCUUGUUCUCUCAUUAUGAGAGGGAGGUGGUAUAAUGAUAAAUUGACUCACAGAUAAUAGUAGGGUGCGACUGUUUAACACAAACACAGAACUCUGCUACGGCGAAAGCCUUAGUAUAGGGUUUGACUCUUGCUCAGUGUCUUAUUUAGAAUAAAAGAGAUAAUGUGUUUAACCGCUAGUAGCUUUUAAUAAAUAAUAAGAUCAACAGCAGUCUUAACUAUAAGGAUUCAAAGGUAGCGAAAUUCCUUGGCCAUUAAAUGUGGUCCUGCAUCAAUAGAGUAACGAUGCUCUAGCUGUCUUAACAUG